RNA transcript from Cucumis sativus (cucumber), 2140 nucleotides. RefSeq lists it as uncharacterized. The record is from RefSeq and is a predicted model, not a curated record. The transcript is spliced from 3 exons. Lineage: Eukaryota; Viridiplantae; Streptophyta; Magnoliopsida; Cucurbitales; Cucurbitaceae.
CAAUUAUUUAUUUUUCUGCAAUAAUUCUACUUCUAGAACCUAAAUUUUGAAAGCCUACUAAUUUUUCAGAAUUAAUUCGAGACCCCACUUUUUCUCCCCUUCCUACCUACGGUUACUUUUUGCUUAAACUUUAAAAGUUGUUUGAAAAUUUUUGCUGAAACUUGUAAAAUUUGUUUGAAGUUCGUAUAUCUCUCACAUAUUGCAAGGUUUCUUAAUUAUUUUAUUGAAUUUCCUACAUAAAUGCAUUCAAAUAUGAGUUGACAUUAUUGGAAAAGAUCCGUCAUCCUAAAGUAGUUCAGUUUUUUGGUGUCGUUACUCAGAAUUUGCCUAUGGUGAUUGUUUCUGAAUACCAUCCGAAGGAACGUGUUGAUGUAAAAUCUUUCAGUUUUGAUGGAUCUUAUUACAAGCUUUCAACUCUUCUUAGCACGACUUCUGACAGAACAAAGGUUUGAUAUAUCUUUACACGAUCGCAUAUCACAUAUGAACGAUCGCAUAUCCCACCUGAAAUAUCGAUCACCCUUGGUAAAACAACCGUUUAGAUAUUCUACACGAUUGUUUGCUUAAGGAUACACGAUCAUUUUGUAACUAUUUUUUUUUAUUAUCCUUUUUUCUUUUUAUACUAGAAUCAAAAUCAAUUGUUUGAUGAUAUUAACAACAUGUAUGAUGAUCUUCGUGAUGAUUCUAGUCAUCACAAUCUGGACAAGAAUGAUGACCAUCAAAAUAACAAACAUGUGAUCAUCCAUGAGAAUCCAUCUGUUCAAGAGUCACAUCUUCAAGAAUCUACUGUAGAAACUCAACAGGAACAAAAAUGAACAACGCAAAUCAACAUCAAGAGCAAUCAGGCAGUGAUAUUAGCAUAGAUGGCAGAGAUGCACAUUUGAUAUUAACUAUAAGUAAUAUAGCAGAAAAUAUGGAAGGUCAUACUCAAACAGAAAAGGGACUGCUAGAAAUGAUUGAAAAUCUUCCGUUGGUAAGCCAACCACUUCCACUUUGUGAGAUGCUACCAUUAACUACUGGCAAAGGUCUUGCAUUAGUUUAAUUGGUAUGUGUGCCCUAAAGGGAUAAAAGCUCUUGGCAGUGAAAGACUUUACAAAACCAUUCAUCAAUUUUAAUUUGAAAAUUCCAAAAUACCAGUACAUUGACAAUAUUUAGAAUCAAAGUUCUAAAUAAAGAACUAAGUAUGCUUUUAAAUUAAAAGAUACAUAGAACUUACUCUUGUUGACGUCUCUGAAUCUAUAAUCCACCGAAUUGGGGACACCACCCGUUGGAGACCUUCCUAUCUUCGAAGAUGAGAUUGGUUUGAAGAAAACAAUUGGAAUGAAAAAAAAAAUUAGAGAGAAACUAUGUAACACCCCCAAUAUCAAGGUAUUUCUCUCAAGCUAAAUUUUUUAAAUUUUAAGGAAUUUGGUUGUCGUGUGGAUUUAGCAGGAAGUGAAGGGGGCUUUUAUGAAAAAAUAUACUAAUACUAAAGGUUAAAUAAUAAUAAUAGAAUUAAUGUUAUUAUUAAUUUAAAAUAUCAAUUCUUUAUUGAUUCACGUGCAACCCCAUCUCUUUCUCCUUCACUCUUCCUCUUCCCCGUGCCCACCGCCACCUGCCUCCCUUAGCCAUUUUAUAUUACUCUUGGACGUCAGCCGGCCACGUCGUCACCGAUCUCUUUGUCUCCGUUGAAGUCGAAGCACCGUUCGUCGUGAGUUCGAACUCUCGGCAUCGCGUCUCACCUCUGUUUUCCAGCCAAGUUGUGAUUCAUUCGCGCGUAGCUCCUUUGACGUUCGCGCCACCACAUUCUGCUCCAGGUGACGAGGAACGUCACCGAUUGACCUAUCAUCUCACCGGCGUUGUUACUUAGUUGAAGCAGUCGUCGACCAGACUUGAGCCCGUCGCGUCUGUCGAAGUGCCGUCGCGCGGCUCUUCACCUUCCAGCCAUGGGUUGUAAGCUGAAGUUUGUUUUUCGUUUGUUGAUUAGAUCUGAUCUAUUACACGCGUCGAUUCUAGUUAUUCGAAGUUGUUGCCCCCAUUUUACUCUAAUUUUUGGGAUUUUUGUGGUAAGUUGUAUUGGUGAGUGUGGUGGUUUUACAUUGUAAUUAUCCUUGGGUUGUAGUUUUGGAUAAUUAGUUAAAUUGUUAAUUGAUUCUUGAAGGUA